CCCAUAAUCAAAAUAGGCCAACACAUAUGGUUAAAGCCAUAUCACAUACUCUAAUAUUUAAACUCCUAUACAUGCCAUAGGCUCAAAGUACUUGAAAUCACUACACCAAUAGCGUUAGCUUGACAGUGUGAUAAUAUCUCUGACGGCCUCCAACCCGAGCUAACCUGGAAACUCUAGAAAACAUGGGAAAGAAGAGGGGGGUAAGCUUUCUCUUAGUAAGUUCAUAUGAAAACAAUAAGCACCCAUUAACUUGUUUUAUCAAUGUUUACAACAUAUUCUCAAGUUCACUACAAGCUGUCUUUCUGAGCAACGGUCACUAAAUUAUUUAUAUCUGGAGCUACGAAACUCCGAAUUAAGUUC
Molecule: long non-coding RNA, 360 nt
Filed under: Gossypium barbadense (sea-island cotton)
Lineage: Eukaryota; Viridiplantae; Streptophyta; Magnoliopsida; Malvales; Malvaceae
Description: long non-coding RNA (GBAR_LNC003589)
Source: RNAcentral